AGUAUGGCAAAAUACAGUGUGCUAUUUAUCUGGAUGGUGUACUCUUAACGGUUAAAAAGUUGAGUGUGGAACGCGCCAUCUUGGCUACCUAGCGGAAGAGGAGGGACCACCGACUCAUUGUCAGACUUGUGAAAAUGGUGACUGAGGUAGCUGCAGGGAUUGCAGUUUCCAACACAAGCAAGUAAAAGUAAAAUUCGUCCUUAAAAAGAAGAAGAAGAAGCGGUCAAUGUUGCGACGGUCAUUUCCAGUAAGUGCACAACUGCCGUGUUUGAUUGGAGACAACAGUACCCUGAUGAAACUCACUCACUACACAAGCCUCCACCCACAUGCACUUGUGAGCCCUGUUUGUACUGGGUGGACGUAGAGAUGUUUGAAGG
This is a long non-coding RNA of Micropterus dolomieu (smallmouth bass), 377 nucleotides long. RefSeq lists it as uncharacterized. NCBI's taxonomy places the organism in Eukaryota, Metazoa, Chordata, Actinopteri, Centrarchiformes, Centrarchidae. The record is from RefSeq and is a predicted model, not a curated record. The transcript is spliced from 3 exons.